AUUGAACGCUGGCGGCAUGCCUUACACAUGCAAGUCGAACGGUAACAGGUCUUCGGAUGCUGACGAGUGGCGAACGGGUGAGUAAUGUAUCGGAACGUAUCCUGUAAUGGGGGAUAACCAGUCGAAAGAUUGGGUAAUACCGCAUACGCACGAGAGUGGAAAGUAGGGGAUCGCAAGACCUUACGUUAUAGGAGCGGCCGAUAUCUGAUUAGCUAGUUGGUGGGGUAAAGGCCUACCAAGGCGACGAUCAGUAGCUGGUCUGAGAGGACGACCAGCCACACUGGGACUGAGACACGGCCCAGACUCCUACGGGAGGCAGCAGUGGGGAAUUUUGGACAAUGGGCGAAAGCCUGAUCCAGCCAUGCCGCGUGCAGGAAGAAGGCCUUCGGGUUGUAAACUGCUUUAGUCUAGGAAAAAGGGGUGCGAGGUUAAUACCCUCGUGCUUUGAUGGUACUGGAAGAAUAAGCACCGGCUAACUACGUG
RNAcentral lists this ribosomal RNA (483 nucleotides) under uncultured bacterium. Its description in RNAcentral is "bacterial SSU rRNA". It matches the Rfam family "Bacterial small subunit ribosomal RNA", at positions 30 to 507 of the family's 1533-position model. The record is from RNAcentral.